AGAGUUUGAUCCUGGCUCAGAUUGAACGCGGGCGGCAAGCCUUACACAUGCAAGUCGAACGGCAGCGCGGGCUUCGGCCUGGCGGCGAGUGGCGAACGGGUGAGUAAUACAUCGGAACGUGCCCUGUUGUGGGGGAUAACUAGUCGAAAGAUUAGCUAAUACCGCAUACGACCUGAGGGUGAAAGCGGGGGACCGGUAACGGCCUCGCGCAAUAGGAGCGGCCGAUGUCUGAUUAGCUAGUUGGUGGGGUAAAGGCCUACCAAGGCGUACGAUCAGUAGCUGGUCUGAGAGGACGAUCAGCCACACUGGGACUGAGACACGGCCCAGACUCCUACGGGAGGCAGCAGUGGGUGAAUUUUGGACAAUGGGGGCAACCCUGAUCCAGCAAUGCCGCGUGUGUGAAGAAGGCCUUCGGGUUGUAAAGCACUUUUUGUCCGGAAAGAAAUCGCGCUGGCUAAUACCU
This 463-nucleotide ribosomal RNA is filed under the name Ralstonia sp. A-39-25-4. RNAcentral describes it as "bacterial SSU rRNA". It matches the Rfam family "Bacterial small subunit ribosomal RNA", at positions 8 to 466 of the family's 1533-position model. Lineage: Bacteria; Pseudomonadati; Pseudomonadota; Betaproteobacteria; Burkholderiales; Burkholderiaceae. The record is from RNAcentral.